UAUCUCUGUAGAGUCUGCAUAUCAAUAAGCGGAGGAAAAGAAACUAACUAGGAUUCCCUCAGUAACGGCGAGUGAAGCGGGAAGAGCUCAAAUUUGAAAUCUUCAAGGUUCUACCUUGACGAAUUGUAGUUUAAAGAAGUGUUUUCUGUUGGAGUUUUGGUAAAAGUUCUUUGGAAUAGGACAUCAUAGAGGGUGAGAAUCCCGUAUUUGACCAUUAUUUCCAGCUUUGUGAUACACUUUCAAAGAGUCGGAUUGUUUGGGAAUGCAGUCCAAAAUGGGUGGUAAAUUUCAUCUAAAGCUAAAUACUGGCGAGAGACCGAUAGCGAACAAGUACCGUGAGGGAAAGAUGAAAAGAACUUUGAAAAGAGAGUUAAACAGUACGUGAAAUUGUCAAAAGGGUAAGCGUUUGACACCAGUGUUGUUUUCUCGAAAAUCAAUUAAAAAAGGCAGGAUUUUGUGUUGUAUUGACUUUAUCAGCUUUCUGCACUCUUUUCUUGUCUUUUUUAAUGCACUUUUCGUUUAACAAGUCAACAUCAAUUUCUUUUGUUGUAAAAGGGUCAUUGGAAGGUGGCUUUCUUUUCGGAGAAAGUGUUUAUAGCCUUUGGCCUCUGCAAUCGGAGAGAUUGAGGUCUGCAGCGUAGAUCCUUCGGGCUAGAUACGUAGAUGCUAAGUUAUAGCCUUUUUCAUAGACAACUUGUUGACUAUGAUCAGUCAUGUAGCUUACUCGCUUAUGCUAUUUUACCUACGCUUAGGAUGUUGAUAGUCACAGCGUGUAC
RNAcentral lists this ribosomal RNA (776 nucleotides) under uncultured Neocallimastigales. RNAcentral describes it as "partial large subunit ribosomal RNA". It matches the Rfam family "Eukaryotic large subunit ribosomal RNA", at positions 24 to 629 of the family's 3401-position model. Lineage: Eukaryota; Fungi; Neocallimastigomycota; Neocallimastigomycetes; Neocallimastigales. The record is from RNAcentral.